This 380-nucleotide ribosomal RNA is filed under the name uncultured eukaryote. RNAcentral describes it as "partial 18S ribosomal RNA". It matches the Rfam family "Eukaryotic small subunit ribosomal RNA", at positions 592 to 976 of the family's 1831-position model. The record is from RNAcentral.
CAAUAGCGUAUAUUAAAGUUGUUGCAGUUAGAACGCUCGUAGUCGGAUUUCGGGGCGGGCCGACCGGUCUGCCGAUGGGUAUGCACUGGUCGGCGCGUCCUUCCUUCCGGAGACCGCCCCUACUCUUAACUGAGCGGGGGCGGGAGACGGGACUUUUACUUUGAAAAAAUCAGAGUGUUUCAAGCAGGCAGCUCGCUCUUGCAUGGAUUAGCAUGGGAUAAUGAAAUAGGACUUUGGUGCUAUUUUGUUGGUUUCGAACACCGAAGUAAUGAUGAGAAGGGACAGUCAGGGGCACUCGUAUUCCGCCGAGAGAGGUGAAAUUCUCAGACCAGCGGAAGACGAACCACUGCGAAAGCAUUUGCCAGGGAUGUUUUCACUGA